Molecule: transfer RNA, 65 nt
Filed under: Carcinocoris binghami
Lineage: Eukaryota; Metazoa; Arthropoda; Insecta; Hemiptera; Phymatidae
Description: tRNA-Asp
Source: RNAcentral
AAAAAGUUAGUUUAAACUCAAAACACCAUUUUGUCAAAAUGGAAACAUUCUUAUAAUACUUUUUA